GUAAAAAUCCAUCUAGUUUGCAAGACACUACAGAUGAAGAAGUCUGAGAGAAGACUGUAAGCUGAGUAGUUCUGGAACUCGGCUCUGGGGAAAUGGCAACAAAUGACGGGGAUAGAUUAGCAACCACAGGCCUGCUCAACUUCACUCACA
Molecule: long non-coding RNA, 150 nt
Organism: Cottoperca gobio
Lineage: Eukaryota; Metazoa; Chordata; Actinopteri; Perciformes; Bovichtidae
Exons: 3
Source: RefSeq, a predicted model, not a curated record